GAGGACAGGUUUCCCUCGGCCAUUGGUUGCCCGGAUAUAUCACCAUACCUAGCUUCCAUCUUUUUGCCACGUAUUGCCGGCCCCCAUACGUACUCAACCCUAUAAAUCAAACCCUUACAUUUCAGAGUUGAAUCGUUUAAGAAAAAAUGCCAGACCAUCCACCACCACCACACGGCGGCCACGGUCACGCACCACCCCCAGGUCCGGGACACCACGAGCCUCCUCCGCCCCAUGGCCAUGCUCCUCCUCCGGGGCCUCAUGCACCUCCUCCGGGACCCCAUGCACCUCCUCCGGGACCCCAUGCACCUCCUCCGGAACCCCAUGCACCUCCUCCGGGACCCCAUGCACCUCCUCAUGAUCCACACAAGCCACAUGACUGUCACCACGGUCACCACCACCCAUGAACCGAACUAGUCAUGAGGCCACGAUCGAGAAGCUAGUCUCAGCAAGUUGUUAUCUAUUUAUCUUUGUGCCUGUAAUGUGAUCUAGCUGCGGUUGUAGUUCUGAGUUGCUGGGUUUACUGGCUUUGCUCCAUUGAUCUCAUCGUUAUGUAAUGACUAAAAUAUGAGGACUAUGUAUGUAUCCAAAAGAAGGCUGAUCAUAUAUGUAUAAUAAGAAGAGUACUGGCUUUGUGGUUUAUGUAUAAUCCGCUUGUGUAAAACUUCUUCUUUUAUCCGUCUAAAUGUGAUGUAUAAUCAGAAAAUAUGGCCAGUUUGUCAUCUUGACCAACCUGAACUUACAAACUAAUUAAUUAAGUCAAUCUCCCCAAUUUCAUCAAUCUUCAUUAGGAUUUCAUCACUAGCUCAUUCCUUCACAGAUAAUUAACCAUUUGCUCGAUUGCUCUUAACAAACUGUAAUAGCCAAGAGGCAAACGCAUCCAUCUAAAUUCUAAAAAGUUAUUAACACAGGCUAGGGGUAAAUUAUCCUUUGUUCAGACCAAUCUCACAGUUGAAGCGAUGAAUUGGCUAAAACAAAAGCCUACGGGCAGAAAAACAAAGCAUCUCUAUUCGUACGGAAGAAUGACUUCCAUAUAUAGUAAGCCUUAUAGUUAUAACACCGUAAGUGUAUAAGAAUAGGAAUUCAUAAACGCAAUAAGAAGAAGACCGUGAAAGAGAUCGAAGAUUAAAGCAGGCCUUAAUGUCUUGUAUAUUCUGUACAAAAUUUCAACAGCCAGAUUUUCUCGAUGCAUUCGUCAGCUUCUGUUUGUAACCUUUCUUCUGUCAAAUCCUCCAUGGCUUUUCACGAGCAAUAAUUCUUGCAAGGUCCCAUUAACAAGCCUCACGUACGUUGUUCUUAUCUCCUUUUCCUUAGCUCACCAAGAAUUCAACUAUUACCAAGUGCAGCAACUAGUUUCUGUGAUCGAUCUACGGAAAGUUAAAGUUAUUGCUCAAAAGAGAAAGAGAAAACGGAAGUUAAAGUUCCAUGCUGCCCUAGUUCAAGUACGCACUCAGUUAUGAUCUUGUGGUUCUUACAAUGGAUGAAUGGAUGAAGCAUUACCACACAAAUACUCAGAAGAGAAAAACAAAACAACCACAGUGCACGAUUAACAUGCUAGCUAGCUUUCAUUGUGUGCAAAUAUCCUGAGCUACCAUUCC
RNAcentral lists this long non-coding RNA (1595 nucleotides) under Fragaria vesca (wild strawberry). RNAcentral's name for it is "long non-coding RNA (FVES_LNC000046)". Lineage: Eukaryota; Viridiplantae; Streptophyta; Magnoliopsida; Rosales; Rosaceae. The record is from RNAcentral.